This 76-nucleotide transfer RNA is filed under the name Actinomycetes bacterium. RNAcentral describes it as "tRNA-Phe". It matches the Rfam family "tRNA". From Rfam's summary of the family: Transfer RNA (tRNA) molecules are approximately 80 nucleotides in length. The record is from RNAcentral. Lineage: Bacteria; Bacillati; Actinomycetota; Actinomycetes.
GGCUGGGUAGCUCAGGUGGUAGAGCAGAGGACUGAAAAUCCUCGUGUCCGGGGUUCGAGUCCCUGCCCAGCCACCA